Molecule: long non-coding RNA, 1413 nt
Organism: Oreochromis aureus
Lineage: Eukaryota; Metazoa; Chordata; Actinopteri; Cichliformes; Cichlidae
Source: Ensembl
UCACAGAGUAAUCAAAUAAUUUAUCAGUUAAAACAUUUGCAUGCCAAUCUUUGACUGUUUAAAAUAUUAACCCUUGUUAGAGCAAACAAUGUCAGAAAAGAAAAGAUACUCAGGGUUUUGUUGAACUUUAUUCAUAAUACAGGCCACUGGAUCGUUUUACCAGGUUUGUUUACCCUCAGUAGUUAUUCAAGCUAAUUCACUAACAACCAGACACACAGUUAACUUGGUCCUGCCAGCAAAUCAUAUAGUAUUGCACUCCAUAGUAACCAAGGUUGUCAAUACUGAGUCUUUUAAGCUGACAUUAAAAAUAAGUUGUUAUUAUGUAUGUACAGGUCCACAAAGGUGAAAAUAAGAUUAACUUGUACCUGAAUGAUGGGGCGAGAAAUGUAUGCAGAAGGAAAGGGGCACCUGUCAUCAUUUCUCAACCAUGUGGGGCCAGUGUUAUGGCACGGGCAGUGGAACCAGUCAUUAGUGUUUAUUGAUGAUGUGACUACUUAUAUAAGUGGUAGAAUGAAUUCUGAAGUUUACAGAGCUAUACUGUGCUCAGAUUCAGCUAAAAGCUGCAGAUCUGAUUGGACAAUGCUUCACAGCGGAAAUACAUAAUUCUGCAAAAGCAACCCACGAGACAAGAGUUUCUCAAGGCAAAGAAAAGGGAUAUUCUGAUAUCGACAAGCAUACUUGUCAAGAGUGUAUUCUUAAUAAGACAUUCUUCAGGCUGAAUAAAGACACUCAAACAGUUAGAAUGUAAUAACAUUAACGUGCACGGGUGAGAACUCUGACGAGACUCACGCACGGGUGAGGACUCUGGCGAGACCCACACCCUGAGUGCAGGCACAGUUCUUUAUUUAUAGGUUACAUCGCGUAUGCAAAUACGUCACAUUUCCUCUUUUACAAAUUCCUUUAAACCAACAGUUGUAUAUGUGUGUGUGUGUCUGCUUCUUUCUAAAAGACGUGGCGCUGACUUAAUCUUUUGUGGUUAGGGAGUCGCGCAUCUGUUUUCCUGUUGUGGUUUAGGUUACAUCGCGUAUGCAAAUACGUCACAUUUCCUCUUUUACAAAUUCCUUUAAACCAACAGUUGUAUAUGUGUGUGUGUGUCUGCUUCUUUCUAAAAGACGUGGCGCUGACUUAAUCUUUUGUGGUUAGGGAGUCGCGCAUCUGUUUUCCUGUUGUGGUUUAGGUGCCUCAUCCGUUUUCUAUUGUAGUCUGGGUGACCCGCAUCUGUUUCCUGCUUAAACUAUAUGUAUUGCAGAGUUCACUGUCGGGUUGCAUGACAAUGGAGCAAUACAUCGAAUCUUGUGACAUGGAGAAGUACAGCAAAUUCUGUGAAAUAUAUAAACACUUUACAAUAUGCUUGAAUAUUAAAAGAUAAUAAAACAAAGAAUAAAACACAUAAAAAACAUAGAAUCUCAUAAC